Molecule: ribosomal RNA, 415 nt
Filed under: uncultured bacterium
Lineage: Bacteria
Description: partial 16S ribosomal RNA
Rfam family: Bacterial small subunit ribosomal RNA
Source: RNAcentral
UGGGGAAUUUUGGACAAUGGGCGCAAGCCUGAUCCAGCCAUGCCGCGUGCGGGAAGAAGGCCUUCGGGUUGUAAACCGCUUUGUCAGGGAAGAAAUCUUCUGAGUUAAUACCUCGGGAGGAUGACGGUACCUGAAGAAUAAGCACCGGCUAACUACGUGCCAGCAGCCGCGGUAAUACGUAGGGUGCAAGCGUUAAUCGGAAUACUGGGCGUAAAGCGUGCGCAGGCGGUUUUGUAAGACAGAGGGUGAAAUCCCCGGGCUCAACCUGGGAACUGCCUUUGUGACUGCAAGGCUUGAGUGCGGCAGAGGGGGGAUGGAAUUCCGCGUGUAGCAGUGAAAUGCGUAGAUAUGCGGAGGAACACCGAUGGCGAAGGCAAUCCCCUGGGCCUGCANUGACGCUCAUGCACGAAAGCGU